AUUGAACGCUGGCGGCAGGCCUAACACAUGCAAGUCGAGCGGAUGAAGGGAGCUUGCUCCUGGAUUCAGCGGCGGACGGGUGAGUAAUGCCUAGGAAUCUGCCUGGUAGUGGGGGAUAACGUCCGGAAACGGGCGCUAAUACCGCAUACGUCCUGAGGGAGAAAGUGGGGGAUCUUCGGACCUCACGCUAUCAGAUGAGCCUAGGUCGGAUUAGCUAGUUGGUGGGGUAAAGGCCUACCGAGGCGACGAUCCGUAACUGGUCUGAGAGGAUGAUCAGUCACACUGGAACUGAGACACGGUCCAGACUCCUACGGGAGGCAGCAGUGGGGAAUAUUGGACAAUGGGCGAAAGCCUGAUCCAGCAAUGCCGCGUGUGUGAAGAAGGUCUUCGGAUUGUAAAGCACUUUAAGUUGGGAGGAAGGGCAGUAAGUUAAUACCUUGCUGUUUUGACGUUACCAACAGAAUAAGCACCGGCUAACUUCGUG
Molecule: ribosomal RNA, 484 nt
Filed under: uncultured bacterium
Lineage: Bacteria
Description: partial 16S ribosomal RNA
Rfam family: Bacterial small subunit ribosomal RNA
Source: RNAcentral